This 268-nucleotide ribosomal RNA is filed under the name Monosporozyma servazzii. Its description in RNAcentral is "Kazachstania servazzii 25S ribosomal RNA". It matches the Rfam family "Eukaryotic large subunit ribosomal RNA", at positions 347 to 631 of the family's 3401-position model. The record is from RNAcentral. Lineage: Eukaryota; Fungi; Ascomycota; Saccharomycetes; Saccharomycetales; Saccharomycetaceae.
AGUACNGUGAUGGAAAGAUGAAAAGAACUUUGAAAAGAGAGUGAAAAAGUNCGUGAAAUUGUUGAAAGGGAAGGGNAUUUGAUCAGACNUGGUGUUUUGCGCCCUNUNCUCCUUGUGGGUGGGNNNCUCUCGCAGCUCACUGGGCCAACAUCAGUUUUGGUGGUCGGACAAAUCCGUAGGAAUGUAGCUUACCUCGGUAAGUGUUAUAGCCUNCGGGAAUACGGCNNGCCGGGACUGAGGACUGCGACUUUUGUCAAGGAUGUUGGCA